This 497-nucleotide ribosomal RNA is filed under the name uncultured bacterium. RNAcentral's name for it is "partial 16S ribosomal RNA". It matches the Rfam family "Bacterial small subunit ribosomal RNA", at positions 28 to 507 of the family's 1533-position model. The record is from RNAcentral.
GAUGAACGCUGGCGGCGUGCCUAAUACAUGCAAGUCGAGCGAACGGACGAGAAGCUUGCUUCUCUGAUGUUAGCGGCGGACGGGUGAGUAACACGUGGAUAACCUACCUAUAAGACUGGGAUAACUUCGGGAAACCGUAGCUAAUACCGGAUAAUAUUUUGAACCGCAUGGUUCAAAAGUGAAAGACGGUCUUGCUGUCACUUAUAGAUGGAUACGCGCUGCAUUAGCUAGUUGGUAAGGUAACGGCUUACCAAGGCAACGAUGCAUAGCCGACCUGAGAGGGUGAUCGGCCACACUGGAACUGAGACACGGUCCAGACUCCUACGCGAGGCAGCAGUAGGGAAUCUUCCGCAAUGGACGAAAGCCUGACGGAGCAACGCCGCGUGAGUGAUGAAGGUCUUCGGAUCGUAAAACUCUGUUAUUAGUGAAGAACAUAUGUGUAAUUAACUGUGCACAUCUUGACGGUACCUAAUCAGAAAGCCACGGCUAACUACGUG